GACGAACGCUGGCGGCGUGCUUAACACAUGCAAGUCGAACGGAAAGGCCUGCUUUCCCUUGUGGAUUGCGGGUACUCGAGUGGCGAACGGGUGAGUAACACGUGAGUGAUCUGCCCCCAACUUGGGUAUAAGCCUGGGAAACUGGGUCUAAUUCCCGAUCGGACUGCAGGGUGGUGCCUGUGGUGGAAAACGAUUUUCUAGUGGUUGGGGAUGAGCUCGCGGCCUAUCAGCUUGGUGGUGGGGUAAUGGCCUACCAAGGCGGCGACGGGUAGCCGGCCUGAGAGCGUGGACGGCCACAUUGGGACUGAGAUACGGCCCAGACUCAUACGGGAGGCAGCAGUGGGGAAUAUUGCACAAUGGUCGGAAGCCUGAUGCAGCGACGCCGCGUGGGGGAUGACGGCCUGCGGGUUGUAAACUCCUUUCGACCGCGAGGAAGCCACCUGGUUGGAAGGGUGGUGACGGUAGUGGUAGAAGAAGCACCGGCUAACUACGUG
RNAcentral lists this ribosomal RNA (494 nucleotides) under uncultured bacterium. RNAcentral's name for it is "partial 16S ribosomal RNA". It matches the Rfam family "Bacterial small subunit ribosomal RNA", at positions 28 to 507 of the family's 1533-position model. The record is from RNAcentral.